This 364-nucleotide transfer-messenger RNA is filed under the name Helicobacteraceae. RNAcentral describes it as "Helicobacter_C typhlonius Standard tmRNA". It matches the Rfam family "transfer-messenger RNA". Rfam says of the family: Bacterial tmRNA, also known as 10Sa RNA or SsrA, is named for its dual tRNA and mRNA-like properties. Its role is to liberate the mRNA from a stalled ribosome. Lineage: Bacteria; Pseudomonadati; Campylobacterota; Epsilonproteobacteria; Campylobacterales. The record is from RNAcentral. RNAcentral also lists the same sequence under 2 other names.
GGGGCUGAUUGGCUUUCGACAGGAAUGAAGAGGCUUAGGUGCAUGUGAGCCGGCACGCUCUCAAACUACCACAUUUUUUAAACGCAAACAACGCAAAUUACGCUCCAGCUUACGCAAGAGUCGCGUAAGUUUAUCGCUUUUUGGAGCCGAGCAUAGUAUUUCUUUCUAGCGGAAAGCUAUCCUCGUCAUCUUUGCUAGAUGCUCUUUUGCUUUUACCUAUGGCAAGGGAAAAGAUUUAGGUUGCUUGUGGAUUCUAUCUUGGGACAUUGGAUAGCCACAAAAAGACUUCAAUGUCUGCUAAACAUGUAGAUUCUUAAGAAGCUCUCAUUUUUGGACUGGGGUUCGACUCCCCACAGCUCCACCA